RNAcentral lists this long non-coding RNA (1497 nucleotides) under Heterocephalus glaber (naked mole-rat). Its description in RNAcentral is "lncRNA (ENSHGLG00100047710.1)". The record is from RNAcentral. Lineage: Eukaryota; Metazoa; Chordata; Mammalia; Rodentia; Bathyergidae.
AGAACAAAAUAAAAGAGAGGUAAUGGGCAGUAGGGAGAGAGAUCUUUCUCAAAGGCAAAGGGGAGGGAGAGAUAGAGGAGGGAGGGAAGGAGCCAGGGGAGGGAGAGGGAUGACAACGGCAGGUUUGUUACGUACAGUCCCUUCGCCACGGGAGGAGCGCAGUCACGAUGCACUGCAGACGUGGACGAAACGUGCAAACAGAGCGUCGCCCGGCAGGACUUUCAGACUUUCAGUUCCGUCCAGGAGGCCCUGUGCCGCUGGGGGGCGCUGUGGGAGUGAGGGCCCUAGAGGCCGGGUGCAGACGGGAGUCCCUGGCCCUGGCCUGAUGGCCACAGUCCCGGUGUCUGUGGGGCCCAGCCGGGCGCCUCCCGCUCUCGGCCAGGCCUGCGGGGCAGAGGCCAGCGGCGUGCAGCGCUCCGGCCGCGCCCCGCCUCCCACCGCCUCUCCUCCGCGUGCCAGGGACCCGGCAUUCAACCCCCGCAGGAGGGCCCGGCUCCUCAGGCUGCGGUCACGGCUUACACCGGCUCCCGGAUGCUCAGUUUCCCCGAACGCAUGUCAGACGAGCACGCAAAACCCGGUGCAAAGAGCUAGAACUGCGUCACAGAAGUGGCUGCCUGCAGUGUGACGCGGGUUCGGGUUCGGGCUGAAGUUCGGGUUCGAGGUCAUCACAGAGCAGCAGCGGCCUGGCGAGUUUUAGUAAAUAGUCACAGGGCGUAGCUCAGAAACGAGGAGUGGCCCGAGCCCCCGUGGCCGCAGGACUGUUUGCGAGACUCGGCCUGUGUUCAGCUGGGCCCUGCCUUCUAAGCGCACAUUCACUCACGAACAGCAGUGGCUGAAUCCCCCGAUGAUACACCACCGCAUGACCACUUACCUCUCCAGGAGUCGCUCAUUCCAGUCAAGAAUGAUUCUUGCGAGAACUUCUGCCCCCAGUCCACUGAUCGCUUCCUUACAGCGAACACCUACCUAGCAGGCUUCCUGCCUCCUGAUCGCUUCUGCCCAGUUUCACUGUAGCAGCCACAGAUUCUGCUGGGACGCGGGGCUAUCCCCAUUACCCAUCUGCCUCCAGCCUCCAGGAAACUUUUCAUCUCACUCAAGCAAGAGCAAGUGUCCGUACAUUCUCCACCUCGCUCGCCAGUACCGCCCUCCCUCACCUCUCUGGUAGUCCUCUCUCCUCCUUCUAUUCUUGCCCUGGGCCAGGCCCUUUCUCCUGCUGUUGCUUUUGUCUUGAAAGCGUCUGGAGUUCAUCCAGGUUGUUCCCUCAUCCUCUCCCACAUUUAGUCAGACUUUCUCAGCCUGUUAACCCCACUGUCCAUCUUUUCCCUGAUUUAUUUUCUCCUUUUCACUUCAAUGAUUUAUCUAUUUGGCUCAUUUACCUGUUUUAUCCAUUACUAUAAAAUGUGAGACCCAUGAAAGCAGGCAUUUCUGUGUCUUGUUCACUGAUCAAUCAGCAAGAUUAUCCCAGUUCCUGGCCCAUGUUAGGUGCGAGGAAAGUAUUUG